RNAcentral lists this ribosomal RNA (804 nucleotides) under uncultured Pelagibacteraceae bacterium. Its description in RNAcentral is "bacterial SSU rRNA". It matches the Rfam family "Bacterial small subunit ribosomal RNA", at positions 35 to 887 of the family's 1533-position model. Lineage: Bacteria; Pseudomonadati; Pseudomonadota; Alphaproteobacteria; Candidatus Pelagibacterales; Candidatus Pelagibacteraceae. The record is from RNAcentral.
GCUGGCGGCACGCCUAACACAUGCAAGUCGAACGAAGUAGCAAUACUUAGUGGCAGACGGGUGAGUAACAUGUAGGUAUCUGCCCUUUGGCCUGGAAUAACACGAGGAAACUUGUGCUAAUACCGGAUAAGUCUUUACGGAGAAAGCUUUAUGCACCAUUGGAUGAGCCUGCACUUGAUUAGUUUGUUGGUGGGGUAAUGGCCUACCAAGACUGUGAUCAAUAGCUGAUUUGAGAGGAUGAUCAGCCACAUUGGGACUGAGACACGGCCCAAACUCCUACGGGAGGCAGCAGUGGGGAAUCUUGCACAAUGGAGGAAACUCUGAUGCAGCGAUGCCGCGUGAGUGAAGAAGGCCUUUGGGUUGUAAAGCUCUUUCGUCGGGGAAGAAAAUGACUGUACCCGAAUAAGAAGGUCCGGCUAACUUCGUGCCAGCAGCCGCGGUAAUACGAAGGGACCUAGCGUAGUUCGGAAUUACUGGGCUUAAAGAGUUCGUAGGUGGUUGAAAAAGUUGGUGGUGAAAUCCCAGAGCUUAACUCUGGAACUGCCAUCAAAACUUUUCAGCUAGAGUAUGAUAGAGGAAAGUAGAAUUUCUAGUGUAGAGGUGAAAUUCGUAGAUAUUAGAAAGAAUACCGAUUGCGAAGGCAGCUUUCUGGAUCAUUACUGACACUGAGGAACGAAAGCAUGGGUAGCGAAGAGGAUUAGAUACCCUCGUAGUCCAUGCCGUAAACGAUGUGUGUUAGACGUUGGAAAUUUAUUUUCAGUGUCGCAGCGAAAGCGAUAAACACACCGCCUGGGGAGUACGACC